AAGUCAAUAGCUCAGAUUGGUAGAGUGCUCGUCGACAAGCGAGAGGUCGCAGGUUCAAGCCCUGCUUGGUUUG
Molecule: transfer RNA, 73 nt
Filed under: Clytia hemisphaerica
Lineage: Eukaryota; Metazoa; Cnidaria; Hydrozoa; Leptothecata; Clytiidae
Description: tRNA-Undet for anticodon ???
Rfam family: tRNA
About the family: Transfer RNA (tRNA) molecules are approximately 80 nucleotides in length. Their secondary structure includes four short double-helical elements and three loops (D, anti-codon, and T loops).
Source: Rfam by way of RNAcentral